AGGAGCUUGCUCUUGUGGAUCAGUGGCGAACGGGUGAGUAACACGUGAGCAACCUGCCCCGGACUCUGGGAUAAGCGCUGGAAACGGCGUCUAAUACUGGAUAUGAGACGUGAUCGCAUGGUCAACGUUUGGAAAGAUUUUUCGGUCUGGGAUGGGCUCGCGGCCUAUCAGCUUGUUGGUGAGGUAAUGGCUCACCAAGGCGUCGACGGGUAGCCGGCCUGAGAGGGUGACCGGCCACACUGGGACUGAGACACGGCCCAGACUCCUACGGGAGGCAGCAGUGGGGAAUAUUGCACAAUGGGCGAAAGCCUGAUGCAGCAACGCCGCGUGAGGGAUGACGGCCUUCGGGUUGUAAACCUCUUUUAGCAGGGAAGAAGCGAAAGUGACGGUACCUGCAGAAAAAGCACCGGCUAACUACGUGCCAGCAGCCGCGGUAAUACGUAGGGUGCAAGCGUUAUCCGGAAUUAUUGGGCGUAAAGAGCUCGUAGGCGGUUUGUCGCGUCUGCUGUGAAAACUGGAGGCUCAACCUCCAGCCUGCAGUGGGUACGGGCAGACUAGAGUGCGGUAGGGGAGAUUGGAAUUCCUGGUGUAGCGGUGGAAUGCGCAGAUAUCAGGAGGAACACCGAUGGCGAAGGCAGAUCUCUGGGCCGUAACUGACGCUGAGGAGCGAAAGGGUGGGGAGCAAACAGGCUUAGAUACCC
This 701-nucleotide ribosomal RNA is filed under the name Microbacterium sp. Its description in RNAcentral is "bacterial SSU rRNA". It matches the Rfam family "Bacterial small subunit ribosomal RNA", at positions 74 to 787 of the family's 1533-position model. The record is from RNAcentral. Lineage: Bacteria; Bacillati; Actinomycetota; Actinomycetes; Micrococcales; Microbacteriaceae.